GAAAAAAUUGGAGCUCUUUUACUGUCUAGUCUUUUUCUGGUGCCUUUGAAUUUUUCUCUUCAAGCCUUGGAAGUUUCCCAGAGGAGCUGCUAGAAGUCUGGGUCUAUUGCAGUUAAUAAUUAAAAGAUAUAUAUAAUAAAUGAUAGGUAAUGAAAUCAUCCAACAAUAGCUGUAUGUCAGAGGAGGGAGCUUCUAGCUUCACAUGUAGCUUUACAAGAUAUUUCUGUCAGUCACAGGGAAUGACUGGAGUUGCAAUAGCAUAAUUUUAAAAUGUUAAUUGGCAAUAUGAAAGAAUAGCGAUUUUUUUAAGGUGAGCUUUAUGGCUCUGCUUUGAAACAAGCACAUUUGCUCCAAGAUCGGAGUUUUGCCUCCUUUAACUCAAGUUUACUUUCUUAGUUUUUUACUGCACCUUGUGUCCUCAAGCUCUCCUGUUGCAGGGUGAAAUACAACCCCUCUAUUUGCUGCAGAGGGUGACAGUGAUUUGUGAAGAAUGAUUGUGGGCUCCUAGCAUCUACCACAUGGGAGAGUAAACAGAGAACAUUGAAAGCAGAUAUGUAUAGACAGACAGACAGUGUGGGUGUGUCCAGCUGUGUGCGUGUAUUUGGGAGACGGUGAAAUUCCUGUAAAUUAAUUACUCUUUGAAAGAUUUCUUUGCAGGUCAACGGCAAACAGAGUUAACCUGCAUUUCAGAAUACUCAUUCCUUUAUGUUUCAGUAAAUCUUCUACUUCUGUUUACUUUCCCUUCACGUUUUCCAGUCUUCUCUCUGAAAUGGCAGGCUUGUUCUUCACAUUAUUUACCCAUCUCUUUUUGUAACCUCUGCUUUCUCUCUUGUUUGAUUUUCUUUUCUUCUUCCUUGCUUUGCCUCCUUUGUCUCCCUAAAUUCUCCCCAAAAUUUGGUUCCUCUUUUUCUCCAUUCUUCAUCAUUUAACUUUUUGACUUUGUAAACCCAGAUAAAAAGCAAUGAAAAUAGUUUUUCCCUGGCUGUCUGGUUCUUUGUCACUAAGAGCAAGUGAACUUGGAAAAACAUUUAGUUAUUUUGCUGGCACAUAUGCAUGUGAAUUCAUGCAAAAUAAGUAUUAAUUAUUAAGAUUUUAGACCUUUAUCCAUGAUAGUGAUCAGCAAGGUACUGCCUGCUAACUGAGCCGAGGCAUAUGCUUUGGUCUUUUUCAAACACAAUGGUAGCAUGGUAAUUUAAAUUUUAUUUGAGAGUGCACAAGGAACACACAGUGGUCUAACCUGAUCUGACCAAGCGUCUCACCCAGAGGUUCCUCCAUCAAAUCUGUAAUUUCUCUUGGAGUUGGACAAUAUAUUUUAGAGAAACAUCCAAUCUUGAUUUAAAGACUUCAAGAGACAGGAAAUCCAUCACUUCCGAGGGUGCAGAGACCAGAAGAUACAUCUAUCCUGUCCUGUGAACCAUGUAGUAUAAGGGAUGUCUUUUUCUAAAUAUAUAUUUUUGAUAAUAGAAGACUGAAAAA
Molecule: non-coding RNA, 1476 nt
Organism: Zonotrichia albicollis (white-throated sparrow)
Lineage: Eukaryota; Metazoa; Chordata; Aves; Passeriformes; Passerellidae
Source: RefSeq, a predicted model, not a curated record